This 496-nucleotide ribosomal RNA is filed under the name uncultured bacterium. Its description in RNAcentral is "partial 16S ribosomal RNA". It matches the Rfam family "Bacterial small subunit ribosomal RNA", at positions 29 to 507 of the family's 1533-position model. The record is from RNAcentral.
AUGCACGCUGGCGGCGUGCCUAAUACAUGCCCGUCGAGCGAACGGACGAGAAGCUUGCUUCUCUGAUGUUAGCGGCGGACGGGUGAGUAACACGUGGAUAACCUACCUAUAAGACUGGGAUAACUUCGGGAAACCGGAGCUAAUACCGGAUGAUAUUUUGAACCGCAUGGUUCAAAAGUGAAAGACGGUCUUGCUGUCACUUAUAGAUGGAUCCGCGCUGCAUUAGCUAGUUGGUAAGGUAACGGCUUACCAAGGCAACGAUGCAUAGCCGACCUGAGAGGGUGAUCGGCCACACUGGAACUGAGACACGGUCCAGACUCCUACGGGAGGCAGCAGUAGGGAAUCUUCCGCAAUGGGCGAAAGCCUGACGGAGCAACGCCGCGUGAGUGAUGAAGGUCUUCGGAUCGUAAAACUCUGUUAUUAGGGAAGAACAUAUGUGUAAGUAACUGUGCACAUCUUGACGGUACCUAAUCAGAAAGCCACGGCUAACUACGUG